RNAcentral lists this transfer RNA (71 nucleotides) under Salmo salar (Atlantic salmon). It matches the Rfam family "tRNA". Rfam says of the family: Transfer RNA (tRNA) molecules are approximately 80 nucleotides in length. Their secondary structure includes four short double-helical elements and three loops (D, anti-codon, and T loops). Lineage: Eukaryota; Metazoa; Chordata; Actinopteri; Salmoniformes; Salmonidae. The record is from Rfam by way of RNAcentral.
CGGCAGGUAGCCCAGGGGUUAGAGUGUUUGGCCAGUAACCAAAAGGUUGGUGGAUCGAAUCCCCGUGCUGA